Molecule: long non-coding RNA, 1660 nt
Organism: Heterocephalus glaber (naked mole-rat)
Lineage: Eukaryota; Metazoa; Chordata; Mammalia; Rodentia; Bathyergidae
Source: Ensembl
CAAGCGCAGUGGCGCAGGGCUUGCACUAGCAGGCCAUCUUCCCAUUGGCCGUGCGUUCCGAGGGCUCAGGCGCAGUGGUGAGGGAGGGUGGCAACAACGUGGUUCGCACCACUCCGAGGCGACACUGAGGAGGCGCGUGAUUCCAGUUCAGCUUACGGUUGAGCUUACGGUUCAAUUUACGGGAUCUCUCACAGCACUGGACCUGGAGCAGCAGUCCUGCUCUGGGGGAGGAAGUCUGCCUCUUUCCUCAGCUAGCCAGCCUAUAUUUGCCUUCUAAUGGACUGACCCAGCUUCCAAUGAUUCUUGGCAACUCACUUGGACCCGGCUGCCUCAAGGAUUCAAGAACGCAACCACUCUGUUCUGUGAGGCCUUCCAGAAGGACUUACUUGGUGAGUUUUCGAUCCCAUGACCCUAACCUCAUCUUGCUUCAAUAUGUGGAAGAUCUGUUGUUAGCUGCUGCCAGUUGUUCAGAAUGCCUUCAGGAAACAAGAGCUCCUACGAUUGCUAGAGGAGUUGGGCUAAUGUGUCUUGGUUAAAAAGGCACAACUCUGUGCUUCCCAAGCAUCGUACCUGUGGUAUGAGACCUCAAAAGGAAGAAAAACUUUGCCUCAGGCAAGGAAAUGGGCCAUUCUGCAGAUACCCAUGCCAACUACCAAGAAAUAGUUACAAGAAUUCCUAGAUGCAGCUGGAUACUGUGGCCUCUGGAUACCUGGGUUUGCCAAGAUAGCACAGCCCUGAAAUCAAGCCCUAGAGUGGAGAACAAAAGAAGAAAAGGUGUUCCAGGAUUUAAAACAAGCUCUGGUGUCAGCCCUGACUCUGGUGUUGCCUGGCAUCAAUCACCAAACCGUUCCAACUGUUCACUCAUGAGGUUCUCAGUCUGGUAACACUGAUGCCACAUGAUGACCCCAAUACCCCAAUGCAUGACUGAGGAGGUGUUGGACCACACCUAGGGAGGCUGCUCAGACCUAAUGGACAUCCCCCAGCUGAGGCUGACACCACUCUCUUCACGGAUGGAAGUAGCAUGGUGCCAGGGGACACUUCCUCAAGGCCUUCCAGAAAGGGGCUCAUCCUGCUGUGGAAUGGAGCAUACACUGUCAUCUUCAGCACUCCCUUCACUCUCAAGGUCAGCAGAAUCUCAGCAUGGAUUCAUCAUUCUCGUGUCAAACAGGGGAAAUAAUGGACAGCCAAACCAGGGCCAGACUCUUGAAGACUAGUCCAAUAAUGAUCAUGAUCCUUGCCCUUAUAAUCAUUGAAAUGACAGGACUGGGCUCUGAAGGAGGAAUAUCCUGAGGGGAGAAGUACUCCUUUCUCCUUACCUCCUUUUCUAUUGGAAGGGUAAUCCUUAAUGAAACUUGGAAUUUCCAUGCAGGGUCAGACACGAUCCUCUUCAAGUUAGAUCUUUGCCAACUGUUUCAUGUGUUCCCACAUUCGCAGACAGGGUUAUGUGAUAGGUUUGGUACUUGUGGGAAAUCAGAUCAGAUGGGUUGUGGAGAUUCCUCAAGGGAAAAAGGACUGCAGGGCUUGGCUUUCUGUAUGUGUCCAGGCCAGGACCCUUUCAUAUCCUCCUGCCUCCAGUCAUCAGUACUAGUGUCCCUACUGGCUCUGUAUAACUGUGGCCUCCUAUUCCGGGGGACCCAACCGCACUUCUGACUUAAUUGCC